AUGAAGGCACAUCGGCCCGGAUCCGGCCGGGAACCAGAUGAGCCCGCGCCUCCCCCGCCUCGGAUCCAGUCGUCCCCGCGCCAAAAUCCCCACUCGGGAUCCUCCCAGAUUCGACCCCCACCAACCAGAGCCCUCCCAUGGCUCCCUUCGAAUCCUCCCUUUCUGGCCGAGGAACCAGCACAGUCGCGCUCGAGCACUCCCGAGGCCAAGCUCCUCCGACCUCACGACCCCGAAGCCCCGGCGACGACCAGCACCCGACGCCGGCAAGCAGCAGCAACUACCGCAUCCCCGAUUCCCGAGCGACCUCGCUCCCCUGCCGUCUUCGGAACCGCGCCGCUGAGCCGCCCGAGCUCCUUCUUGCCCGCCUCCCUCCAACCAGAGCUCGCUGCGGGUGAGAGAGCCCUCUGA
Molecule: ribosomal RNA, 408 nt
Filed under: Triticum aestivum (bread wheat)
Lineage: Eukaryota; Viridiplantae; Streptophyta; Magnoliopsida; Poales; Poaceae
Description: partial small subunit ribosomal RNA
Source: RNAcentral